RNAcentral lists this ribosomal RNA (253 nucleotides) under uncultured bacterium. Its description in RNAcentral is "partial 16S ribosomal RNA". It matches the Rfam family "Bacterial small subunit ribosomal RNA", at positions 524 to 776 of the family's 1533-position model. The record is from RNAcentral.
UACGGAGGGGGCUAGCGUUGUUCGGAAUUACUGGGCGUAAAGCGCGCGUAGGCGGACUGUUAAGUCGGGGGUGAAAUCACGGGGCUCAACCCCGGAACUGCCUUCGAUACUGGCGGUCUAGAGGUCUGGAGAGGUGAGUGGAAUUCCGAGUGUAGAGGUGAAAUUCGUAGAUAUUCGGAGGAACACCAGUGGUGAAGGCGGCUCACUGGCCAGAUUCCGAAGCUGAGGUGCGAAAGCGUGGGGAGCAAACAGG